RNAcentral lists this ribosomal RNA (484 nucleotides) under uncultured bacterium. RNAcentral describes it as "partial 16S ribosomal RNA". It matches the Rfam family "Bacterial small subunit ribosomal RNA", at positions 30 to 507 of the family's 1533-position model. The record is from RNAcentral.
AUUGAACGCUGGCGGCAGGCCUAACACAUGCAAGUCGAGCGGAUGAAGGGAGCUUGCUCCUGGAUUCAGCGGCGGACGGGUGAGUAAUGCCUAGGAAUCUGCCUGGUAGUGGGGGAUAACGUCCGGAAACGGGCGCUAAUACCGCAUACGUCCUGAGGGAGAAAGUGGGGGAUCUUCGGACCUCACGCUAUCAGAUGAGCCUAGGUCGGAUUAGCUAGUUGGUGGGGUAAAGGCCUACCAAGGCGACGAUCCGUAACUGGUCUGAGAGGAUGAUCAGUCACACUGGAACUGAGACACGGUCCAGACUCCUACGGGAGGCAGCAGUGGGGAAUAGUAGACAAUGGGCGAAAGCCUGAUCCAGCCAUGCCGCGUGUGUGAAGAAGGUCUUCGGAUUGUAAAGCACUUUAAGUUGGGAGGAAGGGCAGUAAGUUAAUACCUUGCUGUUUUGACGUUACCAACAGAAUAAGCACCGGCUAACUUCGUG